This 362-nucleotide long non-coding RNA is filed under the name Triticum aestivum (bread wheat). RNAcentral describes it as "long non-coding RNA (TAES_LNC007085)". Lineage: Eukaryota; Viridiplantae; Streptophyta; Magnoliopsida; Poales; Poaceae. The record is from RNAcentral.
CACCACCUGUGACCAACGCGCACCGCCUCAGAAGGCCUGCUGCCCUCGCACAUCUCCUGCCAUCCUCUUCCCCCUUUGUGGUGCAACCUUCUUCCUUGGGCAUGGCAACCACCCUGCUGCUCGCAUGCCCAAAGGUGAACUUCUCCACUCCAACGUAGUGACCUUCCUCCAGCAGCUCAUGCAGGUAGCUGAUUGUUUGAAGUUGCUCGAGCCAUGCUCAAUUUUUGUGGAUGAGUCUGCUCUAGUAGUUGAAGAGAGAAAGAAGGAAUUGAGAACAGAGACCAUGUGCGGUGGUCAAUGGAUAGGAUAAGAACAUAACCUUUUUUAGAGAGAUAAGAUGAAACUUGUGGUUGGAAAAUUUU